Molecule: non-coding RNA, 2728 nt
Organism: Caenorhabditis elegans
Lineage: Eukaryota; Metazoa; Nematoda; Chromadorea; Rhabditida; Rhabditidae
Gene: anr-53
Product: ncRNA
Source: Ensembl
UUUGAAAAAUUUUCAGAACGUCUCAUUACAAAAUUCGGUAGUUUUGGAUCAUUUUGGGUCUAAAAAAAACAAAGUCUCAAAUUUCGGUACUCCACCUUUAAAAACAAUAAGCAAUGGUGUUAUCUAACUGAUUAAGAGACUAUUAUUUUGAUUGAAAAAUGAACAAAUCUAGAAUCAAGUUAUUCUUCUGAAAAUUAACAUAAUAAAUUGUGCUCUGAAAAUCAAGUUGUUGUAGUCAGAUCAAGAUUUUUGUCCCGGCAAAACUCCAACUUGAUUGUUUGAUUAAAAAGUCCCAGUUUUUCAGACUGAAAUCCAAUUUUGGUCACUGAAAUCUUAGUUUUCCCGUCAUCAAAACUAACAGUCUACUGAAACAUGCACAAUUUGUAUCACUCAUACAAUUUCUCAGCUCAAAAUUCAAAAAAGAAGUUGGAGAGCGAGUCCGAUGAUGCCGCAAAGUUCAUCUUGGAUUGAAUUUCCGUUAGAAUAUAAACCAUUCACAGGCACAACAUUUUCCAGAAAUCAUUGUGGAGUUUUCAUACAGAUGAAUAUAUAAAAAUGACAAUAGAAAAUAAUACGAAACAAAAUUAGUUAGCAUCUUUUCAUUUUGAACAUCCACAUGUCACAAAAUUCGGAAUCUCCAAAAGAUAUGUCAAAUCUGGAUUUCCCGUUUGAAUACUCCAGGGUGAAGUCAUCGCCACCAGCAUAAUCCGGUUGAAAUAUUCUUGCAAACUCGAGAGGCGUGAAAUUUAUUUUUAGAAACGUAAUUGUGCAUUUCUGGAAAGUACAUCUUUGCAGCAGAUCCUGAAAAUUUGUUUGGUUAUAAAACCAUAAUUCAUUAUCAAAGUUAUAACUUCGAACUUACAUCUCGAAUUUUAAUCACAUUUUGUAUUGGAAAAUCUUGAGUAUCAAAAGUAAACUCCUCAAAAUGCAAGAAAUGUUCGAUUGGUUGAAAUUUAAACCAGGAAUCCCAAAAAUUGAAGUGCUUUGCCUUUUUCCAUUGAUCCAAAUGAGUUAUUCUUUUAAACUCGUGAUCUGAAAACAUUCCUCCUAAUUCAAUGCUUCUCAAUGUUUGACUAUUGAAUAAUGGAAGGAUUAAUAACAUAUCGUCAAUUGAUAAGUCAUGAUGCAGACGUAUAGUUUUCAUGUGGAUAUUCUCUUCCUCUUUUAAGACGUCUACUAGAGAGUGGACAACAUAUUCUCUAUCUUUUCCUUCCAAAAUGGUUUGAAUCAUUAGACAAGAAGCAUGCUUUUGAAAUAUUUUCAAGUCAUUGAAAGCUAUCUUCAAAUAGUUAUCAUCUCUUAUAUAUUUCUUUUUCCGUCGCCGAUAGUCGCACUUCACAUAUGUUCCACCAAGAGAUGAACUAGAGUAGGUGAUGGUAAUUCUGUCGAGAUCUAUCGAAACUCGGUUACUCUGCAACCAAACUCUGAGGUUGGUGAAGUGAGCUCCAAGUUUAUCAACAGCGGUCCGUAAAGUUCGACAAACUUUUCGGCAGGUCAGCCUGGAACCAGUUAGGUUUUUAUGGGUUUCGUUCAACCCAAAAUGUUUAAAUUUUCUAAAAUUUAAUUUUCCACUUUUCAAAUUGAAAACGUGAGCACAGGUACGGAGCAAAGCAUCCAUUUCUACAAUUCGUUCCAAAAAGUUCACGUUUUUUUUGUGGUUAAUUGAAAUUUGUAAAAUAAAAAAAUUUUUUGGGGAAUGAAACCAAUAAGUACCCCAGUUAGUUAUAAUUUACUGAACCUGCUCUGAAGCAGCUAAAUUUUUAGGAAAAUUCAUCAAUAACACCAUCAUUUUCACAUUAUGGCAUAUUGAAGACCAACGAAUAUUCAAAACUCGUUAGAUACAUAUGUAGAUAGUACUUAGUUAGCUUGUACGUUAGUCUUAAAUACUCACAAUUCCUCGAUUUCAAGCUUCUCCAGAACGUGAUUCGCAACUGUUAUAGGCAGAUCAAGCAGAGUUAGCCGUUUAGCAGACAUGUUUGGAAGUUUAUCUGAAAGUUUAGAAAUGAGAAUCGAAGUUGCGUAAGGUUAAUAUAUAUUCACGGUUUAUUGUACUUAAAAAUGAAACUACUAAUAGACACUGAAUUACCACAUAAUAAAAUAUGUGAAAAGCAAAAGAUGAACACGAUGUUUUUUUUUAAUAGAAGUUAGAAGUUUAGGGAAAGAAAGACGCAAUUCUCUGCAAAAGUAAUAAGAUAGUGUCUUUCUUUCUGAGAAAUAUGACUCAGAAUACAAAUUUUAUUAUCAAUACAUAAAACAGCCUGUUACGGUCUUGGUCAAGUAACAAUAAGCAAUGGCGUUAUCUAACUGAUAGAGAGACUAUUAUUUUAAAUGAAAAAUGAUAGUGAGAGAGAAUUGUUUCUUGACCAUCACAUGCAGUUCUAUUGAUAACAGAAACUGUAUUCUGAUUCAUCUUCCUCAGAAAAAAGACAUUUACUCAUUAUUUCACCAGAAAUGAUCACUGUUUCAGUUUUAUGUGUAAACGGUCUAUUUAUAAGGAAAUUGUACAUUUAUGUUAUCAAUUGUUUUUAUAUUGAUCGUUCAAUUUCGUGAUAACUUUUUCUAAUCUCAAUAUAUAUCUAAAUUUCUGUUCAUCGUUUCAUUUGUUUUUUUUCUUUCUCCAAAUCACUACUCAAAGAUAUUUGCUAUUUUGAAACAAAGUAGAGAGUUGAGAGAAACAUAUAGAAAUUUUGGAUUAAAAUUCAAAUUAAUAAAUGCUCUAGUAUUUGUG